RNAcentral lists this ribosomal RNA (243 nucleotides) under uncultured bacterium. RNAcentral describes it as "partial 16S ribosomal RNA". It matches the Rfam family "Bacterial small subunit ribosomal RNA", at positions 118 to 347 of the family's 1533-position model. The record is from RNAcentral.
UGAGGAACAUGACCUUCGGCGGGGGAUAGCCGGCCCAACGGCCGGGUAAUACCGCGUACGACCACUCGGGGACAUCCCUAGGUGGUGAAAGCAGCAAUGCGCCGAUAGAGUGCCUCGCGGCCUAUCAGCUUGUUGGUGAGGUAAUGGCUCACCAAGGCGACGACGGGUAGCCGGCCUGAGGAGGGUCGACCGGCCACACUGGGACUGAGACACGGCCCAGACCUCCGUACGGGAGCAGCGAGG